UACGUAGGUGGCAAGCGUUGUCCGGAAUCAUUGGGCGUAAAGCGCGUGUAGGCGGCCCGGUAAGUCCGCUGUGAAAGUCGGGGGCUCAACCCUCGAAUGCCGGUGGAUACUGUCGGGCUAGAGUGCGGAAGAGGCGAGUGGAAUUCCUGGUGUAGCGGUGAAAUGCGCAGAUAUCAGGAGGAACACCAAUUGCGAAGGCAGCUCGCUGGGACGUGACUGACGCUGAGACGCGAAAGCGUGGGGAGCAAACAGG
This 253-nucleotide ribosomal RNA is filed under the name uncultured bacterium. Its description in RNAcentral is "partial 16S ribosomal RNA". It matches the Rfam family "Bacterial small subunit ribosomal RNA", at positions 524 to 776 of the family's 1533-position model. The record is from RNAcentral.